AUCUACAGUCAUGCUACCCUGAACAAGCCCUAUCCCGUCUGAUCUCAGAAGCUAAGCAGGGUCGGGCCUGGUUAGUACUUGGAUGGGAGACCACCUAGGAAGACCAGGCACUGUAGGUG
RNAcentral lists this ribosomal RNA (119 nucleotides) under Pteropus alecto (black flying fox). The record is from RNAcentral. Lineage: Eukaryota; Metazoa; Chordata; Mammalia; Chiroptera; Pteropodidae.